GAUGAACGCUGGCGGCGUGCCUAAUACAUGCAAGUCGAGCGAACAGAUGAGGAGCUUGCUCCUCUGACGUUAGCGGCGGACGGGUGAGUAACACGUGGAUAACCUACCUAUAAGACUGGGAUAACUUCGGGAAACCGGAGCUAAUACCGGAUAAUAUAUUGAACCGCAUGGUUCAAUAGUGAAAGACGGUUUUGCUGUCACUUAUAGAUGGAUCCGCGCCGCAUUAGCUAGUUGGUAAGGUAACGGCUUACCAAGGCAACGAUGCGUAGCCGACCUGAGAGGGUGAUCGGCCACACUGGAACUGUGACACGGUCCAGACUCCUACGGGAGGCAGCAGUAGGGAAUCUUCCGCAAUGGGCGAAAGCCUGACGGAGCAACGCCGCGUGAGUGAUGAAGGUCUUCGGAUCGUAAAACUCUGUUAUUAGGGAAGAACAAAUGUGUAAGUAACUAUGCACGUCUUGACGGUACCUAAUCAGAAAGCCACGGCUAACUACGUG
RNAcentral lists this ribosomal RNA (497 nucleotides) under uncultured bacterium. Its description in RNAcentral is "partial 16S ribosomal RNA". It matches the Rfam family "Bacterial small subunit ribosomal RNA", at positions 28 to 507 of the family's 1533-position model. The record is from RNAcentral.